AUAAACCGCGAAUCGCGCAUACCCUGCGCGUCGCCGCCUGCGAGUUCCCCG
Molecule: small RNA, 51 nt
Filed under: Escherichia coli
Lineage: Bacteria; Pseudomonadati; Pseudomonadota; Gammaproteobacteria; Enterobacterales; Enterobacteriaceae
Description: RNA49_SPACER5
Source: RNAcentral